Molecule: long non-coding RNA, 1043 nt
Filed under: Manacus vitellinus (golden-collared manakin)
Lineage: Eukaryota; Metazoa; Chordata; Aves; Passeriformes; Pipridae
Description: lncRNA (ENSMVIG00005018839.1)
Source: RNAcentral
CAGAAACGUGGUGGGAUGACUCACACGAAUGGAGUGCUGCUAUGGGGGGCUAUAAGCUCUUCAGAAAGGACAGGCAGGGAAGGAGAGGUGGAGGGGUGGCUUUAUAUGUUAGAGAGUCUCUUGACUCUGUUGAAGUUGAGGUCAGCAGUGACAAGGUUGAGUGCCUGUGGACCAGAAUCAGGGGGAAGGCCAACAAGGCUGACAUCCUUGUGGGUGUCUGUUACAGACUGCCCAACCAGAAUGAUGAAGGAGAUGAAUUAUUCUACAAGCAGCUGGCAGAUGUCUCAAAAUCUCCAGCCCUUGUGCUUAUGGGUGACUUUAACCUACUGGAUAUCUGCUGGGAGCUUCAUACUGCAGAGAAGAGGCAGUCAAGGAGGUUCCUGGAGUGUAUAGAGGAUAAUUUCCUUCAUCAACUGGUAAAUGAGCCUACCAGGGGUAAGGCUCUGCUAGACCUACUGUUUACAAACAGAGAGGGGCUGGUGGAUGAUGUAGUGGUUGGAGGCCGCCUGGGGCAUAGUGACCACGAAAUAACAGAAUUUUCAAUCCUCAGGGAUGUAAGGAGAGUCAUCAUUAAAACCUCUACUCUGGACUUCCGGAGGGCAGAUUUUGGCCUAUUCAAAAAAUUAAUUCAGGGCAUACCCUGGGAAACAACCCUUAAAGGCAAGGGGGUCCAGGAGGGAUGGACAUGCUUCAAGCAGGCAAUUUUGAGUGCACAGGAACAGGCUAUACCAGUGUGCUGAAAGGCAAGCCGGCGGGAAGACGGCUGGCUUGGUUAAAUAGGGAGGUUCUGAAAGAAAUCAGGGAUAAAAAGAAAGUUUACAGACUGUGGAAAAAAGGGCUGGCUACUUAUGAAGAAUUUACGAAGAGAGCUAGGUCAUGCAGGAAAAAAAUUAGGGAAAGAAAAGUGGAAUUUGAAGUUAAUUUGGCUAAUUCAGUUAGGGAUAACAAAAAGUCCUUUUAUAAAUACAUUAAAAGCAAAAGGAGGGGCAAGGAAAACCUCAGUUCUCUGUUGGACUUGGAGGGAAAUAUAGUUAACAAAGAUG